This is a long non-coding RNA of Podarcis raffonei (Aeolian wall lizard), 847 nucleotides long. RefSeq lists it as uncharacterized. The record is from RefSeq and is a predicted model, not a curated record. Lineage: Eukaryota; Metazoa; Chordata; Lepidosauria; Squamata; Lacertidae. The transcript is spliced from 2 exons.
CGGUCGCAACGGUCGCCUCGCGCGGCCAGCCAACGUUCUAGAACUUUGUUUCGCUUUGUGUGUCCCGCUCGCCGUCUGUUCCUUCGGUCCCACCCGGGGCGGCUGGCCUCGUCAGUGUACGGUGAAGCCUCACAGAGCGAACGUUUCAAGGCAGCAGCUGAAAACACAGCAAAUAACAAUGCAGUUUUACUUCCAGCUCCUGACUGAGAAUUUGAUGAGAUAUUGAUGUGAGGGAUGGCUUGCUUCUCAGCAGAAUGCUUUUACUGAACCGACUCUGGCUAGGUUUCCCCAGCCUCUUGGGACAACUGAGAAUCUCCGCACAUUGCUUUAGGAAGCUUUGCUGUAUUUUCUCUCGACUUGCCACCUCUUCUUCUGACUGCUGCGAGCGACUUAUUUCAAGAGGCUCUGCUACGCACAUCAAGCUCAUUUAGGUAUGCAACAAAUUGAAGGAAACAAGAUCGACUGUGCCUUGUGCCCCCUUAGAUGAGCUUUGCUGCUGCUGCUGAUAAAUGCAGGUUGAGACAAAUAAGCCACAGUGCAGCUUACCAGAUUGCCGGCAAAGACGUCAGAAAAUGACACACUCUCAGUUGAUGUAUAGACCUAGAGACUGAAGUCGUUCGCUCCUCGCGCUGUAUUGGUGUGCUAUAUUCAUUUGCUCAGACAUAGCAACAUUUGCUGCAAAUAUUCUUCCAGUGUGAAGAUUGUCUUCUAUAAUAAGGUUCCUACAUUUCCUGGGAGGAUAGGGAACUGCUGUGCCUUUAAGAAUUGCACUGAAAGGAAAAUUCCAUCAGGCACAGCUUUUCUCUCCUAUAAUAAACUUUAUCUGUCUGCCCUAAAGCUACAUACA